CCCCACCCACAAUGGAGCUCUGCAGCUGCUUCUCCCACCUCCGCUCCCUCCCGCCGCCCCUCCUCGUCCUCUCCGCCGCCGGCCUCCUCUCCCUCAUCCGCCUCUCCCUCCUCCUCCUCCGCUUCAUCUACGUCACCUUCCUCCGCCCCGGCAAGCCCCUCCGCCGCUACGGCUCCCACGCCCUAAUCACCGGCGCCACCGACGGCAUCGGCAAGUCCUUCGCCUUCCAGCUCGCCCGCCUCAACCUCCACCUCAUCCUUGUUGGCCGCAAUCCCGAGAAACUCAGCACCGUCGCCGAAUCCAUCCGAUCCAAACAUCCAAACUGCCAGAUCCAAACCGUCGUCAUCGACUUUGCCGGCGAUCUCGUCGCCGGCGUUGGCCGGCUCAAGGCGGCGAUCGAGGGGGUCGAUGUCGGGCUGCUGGUGAACAACGCCGGGGUGUCAUAUCCGUAUGCGAGGUAUUUUCAUGAGGUUGAUGAUGAGCUUUUGGCGAAUUUGAUUAAGGUUAAUGUGGAGGGGGUGACAAGGGUGACGCAUGCGGUGUUGCCGGGGAUGAUUGAGAGGAAGAGGGGGGCGAUUGUUAAUAUCGGCUCGGGGGCGGCGAUCGUCAUUCCGUCGGAUCCGCUCUAUGCGGUGUAUGCGGCGACUAAAGCGUACGUCGAUCAAUUUUCGAGAUGUCUUUAUGUCGAGUACAUGAACAAAGGAAUAGAUGUCCAAUGCCAGGUGCCCUUGUACGUUGCGACAAAGAUGGCAUCAAUCAGGAAAUCAUCUUUCUUCGUGCCCUCAUCAGACACCUACGCUCGGGCCGCCUUACGGUGGAUAGGCUAUGAGCCGAGAUGCACGCCCUACUGGCCACAUUCCAUUCUCUGGUGCCUGUUGUCCGUGCUACCAGAGUCUGUGAUCGAUAAAUGGCGCCUCAACUUCUGUAUCGGUGUCCGUAAGAGGGGGCAGCUCAAGG
RNAcentral lists this unclassified non-coding RNA (957 nucleotides) under Hevea brasiliensis (rubber tree). The record is from RNAcentral. Lineage: Eukaryota; Viridiplantae; Streptophyta; Magnoliopsida; Malpighiales; Euphorbiaceae.